RNAcentral lists this ribosomal RNA (492 nucleotides) under uncultured bacterium. RNAcentral's name for it is "partial 16S ribosomal RNA". It matches the Rfam family "Bacterial small subunit ribosomal RNA", at positions 30 to 507 of the family's 1533-position model. The record is from RNAcentral.
AGUGAACGCUGGCGGUAGGCCUAACACAUGCAAGUCGAACGGCAGCACAGUAAGAGCUUGCUCUUACGGGUGGCGAGUGGCGGACGGGUGAGGAAUACAUCGGAAUCUACUUUUUCGUGGGGGAUAACGUAGGGAAACUUACGCUAAUACCGCAUACGACCUACGGGUGAAAGCAGGGGAUCUUCGGACCUUGCGCGAUUGAAUGAGCCGAUGUCGGAUUAGCUAGUUGGCGGGGUAAAGGCCCACCAAGGCGACGAUCCGUAGCUGGUCUGAGAGGAUGAUCGGGCAAAGUGGAACUGAGAGACGGACGGGACUCCUCGGGGACACAGCAGGGGGGGAUGUUGGAGAAUGGGGGCAGGUGGUAACCCGCUGUAGCGGGGAAAGAAAGAAGGCCGUCGGGUUGUCGAAUCUUUUUAUUGUGAAAGAAAAGCAGCAGCUGGCUAACCCGGUGCGCGGAGGGUAGCUAAAGGAUAAGCACCGCCUACCUUCGGU